This 386-nucleotide ribosomal RNA is filed under the name uncultured Katablepharidophyta. Its description in RNAcentral is "partial small subunit ribosomal RNA". It matches the Rfam family "Eukaryotic small subunit ribosomal RNA", at positions 30 to 432 of the family's 1831-position model. The record is from RNAcentral. Lineage: Eukaryota; Cryptophyceae; Kathablepharidacea.
GCUUGUCUCAAAGAUUAAGCCAUGCAUGUCUAAGUGUAAAUAAGUCUAUACUGUGAAACUGCGAAUGGCUCAUUAAAUCAGUUAUCGUUUAUUUGAUGAUCUCUUACUACUUGGAUAACCGUAGUAAUUCUAGAGCUAAUACAUGCACAAAAUCCCGACUUACGAAGGGAUGUAUUUAUUAGAUACAAACCAACAUCGUGGUGAUUCAUAAUAACUUUGCGAAUCGUAUGCCUCACGGCGACGAUGAAUCAUUCAAAUUUCUGCCCUAUCAGUUGUGGAUGGUAGGGUAUUGGCCUACCAUGACUUUAACGGGUAACGGAGAAUUAGGGUUCGAUUCCGGAGAGGGAGCCUGAGAAAUGGCUACCACAUCCAAGGAAGGCAGCAGG